This 269-nucleotide ribosomal RNA is filed under the name uncultured bacterium. RNAcentral's name for it is "partial 16S ribosomal RNA". It matches the Rfam family "Bacterial small subunit ribosomal RNA", at positions 793 to 1055 of the family's 1533-position model. The record is from RNAcentral.
GUCCACGCGGUAAACGAUGACGACUAGGUGUGGGGGGGUUAAGUCCCUUCCGUGCCGCAGCUAACGCAUUAAGUCGUCCGCCUGGGGAGUACGGCCGCAAGGUUGAAACUCAAAGGAAUUGACGGGGGCCCGCACAAGCGGUGGAGCAUGUGGUUCAAUUCGAUGCAGAGCGAAGAACCUUACCUGGGCUUGACAUGUAGGAAGUAGAAACCCGAAAGGGUGACGACCUGUUGAGUCAGGAGCCUACACAGGUGGUGCAUGGCUGUCGU